This is a long non-coding RNA of Canis lupus familiaris (dog), 353 nucleotides long. RefSeq lists it as uncharacterized. The transcript has 3 exons. The record is from RefSeq and is a predicted model, not a curated record. NCBI's taxonomy places the organism in Eukaryota, Metazoa, Chordata, Mammalia, Carnivora, Canidae.
AGAAAUGAGGAAGCAUACACACAUUGGAGAGACUUGACAAGGCUCUUCCUCCCAAAGAGUGGAAUAUAAGUCUAAUUAAGGAACUUUACAAACCUACAGGAAAGGAAGUUUUUACAAAGGUUAUCUAGCAGGAUUUCACGACCGUAACAAACCAGAGAUUGCUUUUUUCUGCUAAUGUGAAAACAUAUUCUCUUCCGAGAGCUUCAUUAAAAGAGAAUCACUAGAUACCGAACAGAUACAACUUUUAUUAUGUUGGUGGUUUUGUCUGGUAUUGCAAGAAGUAGAGAAAGUAUGGAUGAGGGGAAUAGAAUGUAUUUGCCAGAAGACUACAGUCAAUUGUUACAUACAAUUCU